GCAGGCCCCGCCCGGAGCCCCGCGGCGCCCGGGGCCCCGAGCCCGACCUCCCCGAGCGCCCAGCGCGCCCCUCUCGCCCCUUCCCGCGUCCCCUCCGCGAGGCAGCGUCACCGACGCUUCCCGGCCAGGGGCGCGCGGGGGGUCGGGGGACACUCAGAAGCGCAGAGCGUGGGAGACGAUGUGUGUGGGUUUGGGGGCUGGGGAGGUGGCGGGAAUGCCUCGCGAGUCACAUCGGCGCUAGGUUGUGGGGUGCCAGGGACCCGAACGGUGGGAGGUCUACGGGAGGGAACCCCGUGGUCCUCCAGUCAGCGCGUCUCCCUCACCACUGGCGACUGGUGCGCAGCGAGGAAGGGACGUGACCCUGAGGUCCUCGCUCCGGCCGAAGCUGGGCGCCCCGCGUUAACGCUAUCGCGGAAAUAAAUGUCCUUCGCACCGCCCUCCGUCCACGCGCUAAAAAGCCACAAACCACUCUAUACUCCUCCAGAAAGGGCCCGGAGAACCGGCCGGAGGAGACGUGGGACAUUAAGUAUCCAGUCGUUUCUGGUAUUUUUCUAAGAGGUUCACGGGGUUCUCCCGCCAAGAUCGCUUUACUGGUUACUUCCUCGUUGAAACGCCUUCUAAGUUCUGGGUGAUUUCCGCGGGAAAUCCCUGGGGCAGCAGCCAGCCAUUCCGUCUGAUGCCCAAAUCAUAUCCCUGUCUCUCCAGAUGCUCAUAAGUUCCAGUAGGUGUCACACUUCGGGGUGGAAAUGUCAGGAGGAAAAAAAAGAAAAUCAACUCUGGUGGGAAUGGGGAGCGAGUGGGAAGAGCGUUACAGUCAGACGUGGGCUCGACAGCCGUACUCUUGGCCUGCCUCUGCCGGACCGGAAUCCCACGCUGUGGGUUCCAUUUUCCUCAUUGCCAGGAAAUAUCACUAGGAAUUAAACGGCUUCUUUUAGCAGUGUCAAAGAAAGUGUUACUCUUGCCAGUCACCCAUGAAGAGGGAGCCAAGAGCUGCCCAGAGCCAGUUCCCACAGCCAGGACUUUUCUCUAAAGCCAGAGGUCGGAAAGUUGAACAGAACGGAAGCUAAUUGCCUGGCAGAGGGAAGAGGCAUCAGAGGCCCAAAAGGGUGGGGGUGAUUGGAGGGUGGCCAGGGUUGGUGGCCAGGGUGCCUUCUCUUUUACUUACCACUGGCUGCACUCCGCAGUUACCCAGAGGUGAUUUCAACUGUUCGCCAACCUUGUGCCAGGGGCUGCCCGUGGUUCUGAUAUCAGCAUGCACAAUUUCAGGGCAGGAAGGAUAAACUGUCAGAAAGGACAUUUGGGGAGAAAAAAGGGUUCAGUUCGAGUAAAAGUAGAGAUAAUAAGAGAAUCUUCAAACAUACGUAGAAAAUAAUUUUUACUUUGGAAUGAUCUGUCGGGUUUGUGGAUUUGUCGUUCUCUGCCAUUUACUUUACAAUAACUUUAUUUUGCGGUCGAUUCAUUUUAUUGAAUCUCUGGAGCGAUCUGGUAGAGAAGUGCAGAGAAAUAAGUAGCAUGCAUUUGUAAUAAACAGCUCUAAGUGUUGUUUUUGAUUUUUGUUUUGUUUUUAAGGGGGUUCUCCUGAGUUUUGUAGUGCUGGAAUUUCUAUAAAGAAUUUGUAUUCUAGAUACGUGCACAUUACUUUCUCCAAAUUUAUGUCAGGCUUGAGAUCCUAGGGUAUCUUGUCAAAAUGAAUAAGCUCAAUGUUUUAAAAAGAGUCGGGGGAGGGGGCGACUUACUGGCAAAGGUGUCCCUGCCCCCCUCCCCUCACUUCAGCACCUUGGCCAACACUCUUGAAUUAGCUUUUGCCAAGACAUUUCACUGGAUCUUACACAUCUAGUCGGGCAGUUUGGGCAGCGAUUUUGGCAGCAAGAAGACACGUGCUUUGAAUUUCAUUCUACCAGGUAACUCUUAAAGGGAAGCAGGAAGGUGAUGAGUUCUCUGAGUUGGCACCCACACUCAGUAGGAUUCUGUGGGGCAGAGCAUCCCUUUUGAACCUAAAACCUUCUAAUUGGACUAUGUGUGGAGACUAAUCCUGGCUUACGUGAUCCAAUCCCUUAAGAUCCUUUAUGUUUGCUGCUUCGAGUCCUCAAAUCCUGGUUGUCAAGGGAGAAUAUUAAUAGGAUAGGGGAAGAAGAUUAUGGGUAGCCCACUUCAAUACAGUCAAGUAGAAUUGUGUGUAUUGGAGCAAGCUGUCAUAUAUUGAAGAGCAUUUGAGAGACACAAGAAGGUUCUAUUGAGAACAACUGUCUCGCUGCUAGAUUCAUACAGUGCCCUUUCUAAAAACCCUGUUUGGGGGACCAAAAUCCUCCAGAAUGUUACAGAGAGUUUGUUGUAAGGUUGGAACUGUUCUAUCCAAUAAGAAUAGACAAGGUUGUCAGAUUAACAAGGUAGUUGUGAGUUGCAGACCCCAAGUGUGGGUUAAGUGUAUAUAUAUACAUUCUUACACACACAUACACAUAGGACAGGGAGGCUUCAAAAUGUGUGUGGCUUAUGGAGAACACAGAGCAGAGAGAUGCUUAGUGAGAGCAGCUGACUAGGGGGCCAACUUUGAGGGCAGUUGUUGAAGAAAGUAGAGCUAUAAGCCAGAGCAAACUUGAUUUCAGUUUUUAACCCAAGGCACCAUGCAGGCUCACGUGCAAGCAGACACGUCACCAGGGCCAACCUUGUUUUACAACCCUCUUAAGAACAAUUAGGGAGAGAUACCCGCACUCCCAUGCUCACUGCAACAUUUCCACAAUAGUCAGGCUAUGGAAACAUGCCUAAAUGUCUGUCAAGGAAUGACUGGAAAAAGAAAAUGUAGUAUAUAUCCCAACCUUUAAAAAAAGAGAAAUCCUGCCGUUUGAGACACUGGAUGAACCUAGAGGACGUUAUGCUGAGUGAACAAGUCAGACACAGAAAGAGGAAUACUGCAUAAACUUACUGAUCUGUGGAAUCUAAAAUAGUAAAUCUCAUAGAAGGAAAGAGUAGAAUGGGGCUUACAGGGGCAGGAGGUAGGGAGGUGGGGGGGAUGAAGAAAUGGUGGUCAAAGACCACAAAGUUUCGGUUGCACAAGAUGAACAAUUUUUGGGGAUCCGACGUACAGCAUAGUCGACGAUACUGGAUUGAAUACUUGAAAGUUGCUAAGAGGAUAGGUUUUUAGUAAAAUCUUCUCCACACACGCAGCGGUAACUACGUACAAGUGGUGGUGAAGCCGUUUGACUUCAUCCUGCUGAUCUCGUCACAAUGUAAACAUGUAUCGAAGCCUCAAGUUGUACUCCUUAAAUAUAUACAAUUUUUAUAUGUCACUGCAUCUCAAUGAAGUUUUAAAAAGGAAAAAAAAGCAAUCAUAAUAAUACAUAACAGUUACAAACAAAAGCCAUAUAUUUUAAAAAGAGAAAUAUUUGCUCCUUAGUUAUUCUAAAAUUUUUUCGUGGAAAACGAAUCACAACUCAUGCCAAGGCCCAUCUCAGGAUCGGGAAGAGUUUAAGUAAUUUCCAGACACUUCAUUCAUGAUAGACCCACAAAGCAAGCGUCUUUAGAGCAGAAUCUCCAUUGGAAAAUGAUAAGAAACGGUUCUCCCAUGUCAGAGGGAGAAUUUUACUGAGUGUUUUAUUACUUUGGUUGAAUAUACAUGUCAUGUUGGCCUCAAAGUUGUAAUGCUACUAGUUAGAAAUUCUUUACAGGAAGCUAUUCUUUUAAAAUGUAUGAAGUGUAUUUGUAUUUUUGUGUGAAUUAAUUCAUUUAGAUGGCUUUCUACAAUUCAUUAAGCUAUAAACCUAGGAUUUGGACACUUUUCUGCAUACAUGUUUGAUAGCAAAUUCAAAAGAAAAAUACUUUUAAAGAAAGUAGAGAUGACUUUUCUGCUAACACCAUAUUCGUUCUGUCACUUUGAGAGAAAUGGAGCUUUAUUUAUGGAACGUGAUUGCGUUGAGUCCGAGAAAUGGAAGACUCUGAGGAACAAAUAACCAUCUGGUCAAUUUUUGCCUAAAGCCUCUUAUGUAUUUCCCAGAUGGGAACCACCUUAUGUGUAUGCACUCCUGAAUGCAUUUAUGACCUUUACUCUGUCGUUAUGCAAAAAUUCCUCUGCAAGUCAUUGUUGCAUUGUGACUAAGCUUAUUAGCUUCUUUUAUUUAUUUUUAUUUGUUUUUGAAGUACAGUUGACAAUGUUAUAUUAGUUUCAGGUGUACAAUGCAAUAAGUCUACAAUUCUACACAUCACUCAGUGCUUUCCAUGACAAGUGUAGUUGCCCGCCACCUGUCACCUUACAUUAUUACAGUAUUAUUGAGUAUAUUCCCUAUACUGUACUUUUCAUCUCUGUGACUUAUUUCCUUUAUAACUGGAAGUUUGUACCUCUUAUUUCCCUUCAUCUGUUUCAUCCACACAAAAAACCAACAACGUGACAACCACCCCCCUGGCAACCACCAGUUCGUUCCUUGUAUUUAAGAGGCUUCUGUCUUUUUGUUUGCGCAUUUGUUUUGUUCUUUAAAUUCCACAUAUAAGAAAUCAUAAGGUAUAUUUGUCUUUUUCUGACUUAUUUCAUUUAGCUUAAUACCCAGUAGGUCUAUUCCUGUUUUUGCAAAUGGCAAGAGUUCUUCCUUCUUUUUAUGACUGAGUAAUAUUCCAUAUAUACAUAUAUACACACAUAUAUAUAUGUAUGUAUCUAUAUCUAUAUAUCUAUAGCUCCUUUAUCCGUUCAUCUGUGGAUGGAUGCUUGGAUUGAAUCCAUAUCUUGGCUAUUGUAAAUAAUGCUUCAAUAUACAACAGGAUGCCUAUGUCUCUUUGAAUUUGUGUUUUCAUUUUCUUUGGGUAAAUACCCAGUAAUGGAAUUACUGGGUUGCGUGGUAUUUCUGUUUAUUAACUUAUUUUAUUUCAUUAACUUCUUUUAAAGAGGAAACGUCCUCCCAGAAGUGAUUGUACUUACCCAGUAUGGGUGUACGCAGAAAACAUAAAGGGUAAGUGGUUGAGAAAGGACAGUAUUGACUUCAGUAAUCACAAAAGUUCCAUAUCCUUCCUUUCCUUUGACAUGUUUUAACUUCUUCUGUGCUGCAGUGAUACUACUUUUGAUAUUUUAGGGAGCUUUGAGUAAGAAGCAGAACUCUGACAGACCAAAGAUCUUGGGUUGAGAAGUAAUGCCUGUAAACAUGUUUACAGGAGCAGAAGGAAGAAUUUCCUCUCCUCUGAACUUUAUGGAGGAACGUCCCUGGCCUGGGGAUGAAGUCAACACAAACUUAGUUUACAACUAAGGUUGAAUGUUACUGAUUAUAUCGACUACAGUUUUUUCUUACUUCUCAAGUGCAUUGCAGAAGUGACUUUGAAGAUAAAUGGUAACAACAGCGGGAUACAGACAACUUCUAGAUGGGACCAAAACCAAAAGAAUGAGUGUGGUUCUGGCUGUCUUCUUCUUCACAACGAUUUUCUCUGAAGCCUCACAAAGAAAAAGAGCAGGAAUACAUGUGUCAGGAUAAACCAUUGAUGGAGAACCCAUGAAGUGCCUGGCACGAAGUUCAGUGUGUAGUUCUCUGAGCCAUCCUAUCAGGAUGUUAUUAUUGCUAAAACUUACAGAGGAAGCCGUGGAGACUCAUAGGGUUAAAGACCUCACCCUUAGUUAAGGAAACUCUCUUGCAUCCUGAAUAGUAACUAGCAGAGCCUUACCUUCCAGUACCGUAGUGGCGUCCAGCAGCAUCUGUAGACUGGAAGGCUUGAGGACUUGAAUCUGCUUGAUGUUGCACUCUGAUUGUUAGCUCUGAUAAUUCUGAUACUCGUCAGUGCCUACUCCAGCUUUCCUCUGAGGUUAGAAGCAGAGCAGAAGCUGUUCCAAGUACCUAUAACAAUGGGUAACCCACCAGAGCUCAGUUGUGAAGUCCUUCGAAUAUAAACUUGCUCAGCCAUCCCUGUGCUGUCUAUCUGGCAAAGUCAUACGCAUAUUGUGAAAGAGGGUGGGGUUAUUUCUUCUCAAGUCGACUUCUGUCUAGGACAGCCUGCUUCUCCAUCGCGAUCACUUUACCCCACUCCUGCAAGUGCCUGAAAUUUUCCAGUGCAUCACGUGUCCUGCACUGGACAUGUGAUGCACAUGUUUUCAUUUAACUAGGUUGUGUUGCGGUUCUUUUUUCACGCACUUUCUUAUUCAAAGGGGUGAUUCGAAGUGUCUUACAAUGAUGCAUAUAAGGCAACAAUGAAAAAUAUAGUGAAUGAGGGGGUAAAUAGCAAUAUUAGCAACAACUAAAAAGCAGUAUUAGGAAAGUUAGGUGUUGUCAAGAAUAGAUUCGUGAAUACAGCGCAUAACCAUUAAGUCCCACAGUCUUGCUAAGACUGUUUCCUGGUGUCCAAGUUGAAAAGGAAAACAUCAUCAGCCGUGAGAUUAAGAGGUCUGCAGUGUAAAAUAAAAUAUUUUGCUCUAUAUGUGUUUGGCUUUUACUUAUACUGAGACUCAAGAGACAAGACAUUUUUUUUCUGUGAUUAUUCAUUCAGGGCAGUAGAGAUUCCCUUAGAAUGUGGGCCCUGGGCCAACAGCUUUGGAAUCACCUGGGAGCUUGUUAGCAAUGCAGAGUCCCAGUCCCCAUGCCAAGUCUACUAGAAGAGAACAUGUAUUUUAACAAGAUCCUCUGGUAAUUUAUAAGCAUAUUAACAUUUGAGAAACAUAAAAAAUAAGCUACAACUAUAGCCAUAAUUUUGCAGUGUAUUGUCAAAGGCAAUUGGGUGAGGGUCCAAUACAAUACUGUUUAUACCGUGACUCUUUGAAAGAGUUGCUUGAGGCAAAAGUAAAGUGUAGAUCACCUAGAAAUGUAUGAAAACGGGAUCGGUUCCUUGCUAAGUGACUUUGGAAGGUCCCUUGAUCGUUCCUGUUAUAUUGUCUCCUUCAUGCAGCACCUUAACUGUAAUGUAAUCUUACACUUCCAGGGUAAGUAAAAAAUUCCAUAGCAUAUAUGAAAUAGUCACAGUCUGAAUCUGCAAAAGUUCUGACCCCGGUUACAUCCCUAAAGAUGAGUUCCAGGGUGAGGCCAGUGUUUCCGUGCUUACCAGAGAAUUUUAAAGCAGGAUCACUAGAACUCACGAAGGACAUGCAAUAAUGAAUCGUUGCUUUACAAGAUUUAUGUUGCUAUCAUUGAGGCCGUUAGUGAUUUGAAAACAAUUGGUUAUACCAGCAAAUCUGAUUGCUGGAAUCAGAAAGUCAUGAAAGGUUUUGUUUUGUUUUCUUUUGUUUUUCUCUCUUCUAGUCAUUGAAUCUCAGAAAAACAUGAUGUCUCUCCUUCACAUAAGAAUGUUCUAAGGAUGGAAUUCUCUGGAGUUAAAGGUCUAGAUUUCCCCACAUGUUGUGAUGUCGUCCAGGUCCCUUUGGCUGCCUUUCAGCCCGUUUUGGGAUGCGCGUUCCUCUCCUCCACGUUCACGAGCACUUUGAACAAUCUGGCCAAUUCGGGAGUUGGUCUAGGAAAUUUCAGAGCGUGUGAGUCUGGCGAGCAGAAUUCCAACCCUGGCUCUGUGACUCUUUGUGAAGUCAUGCCUCCUUUUGCAAUCUCUGUUUUCUCAUCUGGGAAAUUAGGGGAUUUGAUGAUUGGGUCCUUGCAUUUGCCAUUCCUCUGCCCCAGAGUUCUCAUGGCUUCUCCUCCUCUGUCAGGUUCUCCGAUGUCCCCUUCUCAGGGAGGUCGUCCUGCAUCACCAAGUGGAAGUAUGUCCCGCAGCCUUCCCUCCCCUGCAGCCUUCUGGGUUCCAUUACUGUCCUUCAUUUUCCUUGUGGCUCCUACUGCCACCUGAAGUAGAUCUUUUUACUUAUUUAAUUUCUUGUUUCUCUUUCCCAAACUUCCUCCUUUCAAAUAGAUGUGCCGUUGAGAGAAGGAAAGGUGUCUAUUUCACUACUUUUAAACUCUAUUUACUAUAUGAAAGUAAGAGGAGGGAAGAGUCUCCUUUUCACUGCAAAUGAGGUGCUAAAAGCAGCAUCAGGAGAGUGGGCUGGUCGCACAUCAGUGAGCGACUGUAAUGGAAUUAUGACUUACAAAUGGCCAGUUUGUCAGUGUCUGCUGCUGAUGCUCCUUGAGUCACCUUCUUCACCACGUACUCAGAAAGACAGUGAGCACGUCCUGUGUGCCAGGUACUUGACUCGUACAAUCUCUUUUAAUCCUCAUGACAAGCGCUCAACCAAGGAUUUUUAUUCCUAUUCUAGAGACGAGAAGGAAGAUGCCUUGAGAUCGGGCUUGGCCCAGAUCAAAUGAGGAGACACUGAUGGAUCCCAGAGUCACAGGCAGGUAGCCCAGCUCCAGAGCUGGUGUUCUCCACAGCUGCUCUGUCCCGCGGACCAGUUGCCCCAGGCAGGCAGGCUGGCAAGCCUCAUUACACGUGCAGUUAGCAACCAAGCCGGAGAGAGCAAGGACAGAAAAGGAAACCCCAGAGCACUCGCCAUAGGAAGAGGGUUUGAAAAGGAGCUUCUUAACAAAAGAAGACCUGUGGCUACUUUUGCUCUGCUCAACCAUUCCUCAUUCAUGACAUCUCAGUAAUGCAGGAUAUCAGGCACGACUCUAGCUUUGGACACUUUAUCCAUACUCAGUCGUUUCCCUAGGACAGGACCGGCAUGGAGUGGGUUAAGCUUUGCAAACAAAGCCUCCUUCAACUCUGAAAGGGACAUCGUUUGAUUCUUUUUCUUCUAUAGAAAUACAUUUCUGGCACGAUCAGCAUGGAGUAAUUGGGUUGCAGCAUUACAUCUGCUAUAUUGUCUUCUGUAGUCUUGAUUUUGAUGCUUGUGUUUACAAACAAGAGGAGUUUUUUUCCACUGAAGUGAGAUUUGUUUGCUCUCAUCUUUCACUGCAAUGUCAGUCAGCUGGAAAGAAAUGGUUGUGUUUGCUGGACACGACAUGUUGACCUACAUUAAAUGAUGUAGAAAUAAUAAAAUUUAAUGAAUGUAACUGAGUUAGUGGCAAUAGAGAAAAACACUUGCCUUUGAAAAUGUUAAUAUUUUGCAAAUGGACCGAAGUGGAAACGCCUCUGAGACUAGAAGAAUUAAUGGACCCAAAUUAGGCAGUGUUCCUUUAAUUGAGCUGCUAAAUGUGAAAAUAGUCAGUUUUUCUAAUUCAAUUUCAACGUACCACCUCUCCUGACAUGGGAUUUGGGAAGCUUGGCAGCUCUUUAAGCAAAACACCAAAAUGGCAGAGUUUAACAAUAGGUCUGUUUAAAAAGAUGACACCACUUAUGAUGGCACAAAGAGCUUUUCUUUAUAUAAUUAUUCUAGUAAUUACCAAUUUAAGUGACUAAUUAAGGUUGUCAAAAUGGCCAAUGACUUUGGCCUUUCAAAUCACACAUUCUAUACAAAGAACACAGGUGUGACGUGGCAAACAAGCAAACAAAAAACUUGAACAAAAUUUACUACUCAAUGAAAUGUGAUAAUUAAAUUAUUUUUGAACA
This is a long non-coding RNA of Ailuropoda melanoleuca (giant panda), 9366 nucleotides long. RefSeq lists it as uncharacterized. The transcript has 2 exons. NCBI's taxonomy places the organism in Eukaryota, Metazoa, Chordata, Mammalia, Carnivora, Ursidae. The record is from RefSeq and is a predicted model, not a curated record.